RNAcentral lists this long non-coding RNA (243 nucleotides) under Gallus gallus (chicken). Lineage: Eukaryota; Metazoa; Chordata; Aves; Galliformes; Phasianidae. The record is from RNAcentral.
CUUCCACAGCUGCGACUAUCCCAGCUAACCGCAGCGUGAAGGAGAGGACGUUCGGCUCCGGCUCCGGCAGCGCCAGCACGGCGGUGAAGAACUCUGUCAGACAGGGGUUGUCACGCAGCAGCUUCACGGUGGGCUCGGCCUCCCUCAGCUCCCGGAACCAAUCGAGCAUUUUCUCCAGGCAGGUGUCAUCGGAGCCGGGCUGCCGCGGGUCGGCCAGAGCGGCACAGACGCGGGGCAGCAGCC